UAGGGAAUAUUGGACAAUGGGCGCAAGCCUGAUCCAGCCAUGCCGCGUGAGUGAUGAAGGCCUUAGGGUUGUAAAGCUCUUUCGCACGCGAGGAUGAUGACGGUAGCGUGAGAAGAAGCCCCGGCUAACUUCGUGCCAGCAGCCGCGGUAAUACGAAGGGGGCUAGCGUUGUUCGGAAUUACUGGGCGUAAAGGGCGCGUAGGCGGUCGAUCGCGUUGGGUGUGAAAGCCCCGGGCUCAACCUGGGAUGUGCGCCCGAAACGGGUCGGCUGGAGAUCGGAAGAGGAGAGUGGAAUUCCCAGUGUAGAGGUGAAAUUCGUAGAUAUUGGGAAGAACACCGGUGGCGAAGGUGGCUCUCUGGUCCGAUUCUGACGCUGAGGCGCGUAAGCGUGGGGAGCAAACAGGAUUAGAUACCCUGGUAGUCCACGCUGUAAACGAUGCGUGCUAGACGUUGGGAGGCCUAGCCUCUCGGUGUCGCAGUCAACACGUUAAGCACGCCGCCUGGGGAGUACGGCCGCAAGGUUA
RNAcentral lists this ribosomal RNA (524 nucleotides) under uncultured bacterium. RNAcentral describes it as "bacterial SSU rRNA". It matches the Rfam family "Bacterial small subunit ribosomal RNA", at positions 355 to 896 of the family's 1533-position model. The record is from RNAcentral.